Molecule: ribosomal RNA, 428 nt
Filed under: Verrucomicrobiota bacterium
Lineage: Bacteria; Pseudomonadati; Verrucomicrobiota
Description: Verrucomicrobia bacterium partial 16S ribosomal RNA
Rfam family: Bacterial small subunit ribosomal RNA
Source: RNAcentral
UAGGGAAUCUUCCGCAAUGGACGAAAGUCUGACGGAGCAACGCCGCGUGAGUGAAGAAGGAUUUCGGUUCGUAAAACUCUGUUGUUAGGGAAGAAAAAAUGUAUAGUAACUAUAUACAAAAGAGACGGUACCUAACCAGAAAGCCACGGCUAACUACGUGCCAGCAGCCGCGGUAAUACGUAUGGGGCGAGCGUUGUCCGGAAUUAUUGGGCGUAAAGGGUACGUAGGCGGUCUAUUAAGUCAGGUGUGCAAGCGUGAGGCUUAACCUCAUUAAGCACUUGAAACUGAUAGACUUGAGUGAAGGAGAGGAAAGUGGAAUUCCUAGUGUAGCGGUGAAAUGCGUAGAUAUUAGGAGGAAUACCGGUGGCGAAGGCGACUUUCUGGACUUUUACUGACGCUCAGGUACGAAAGCGUGGGGAGCAAACAGG